GACGAACGCUGGCGGCGUGCUUAGCACAUGCAAGUCGAGCGGUAAGGCCCUUUCGGGGGUACACGAGCGGCGAACGGGUGAGUAACACGUGGGUGACCUGCCCUCAGCUCUGGGAUAAGCCUGGGAAACUGGGUCUAAUACCGGAUAUGACUCCAUGACGCAUGUUGUGGGGUGGAAAGCCUUGUGCGGCUGAGGAUGGGCCCGCGGCCUAUCAGCUUGUUGGUGGGGUGAUGGCCUACCAAGGCGACGACGGGUAGCCGGCCUGAGAGGGCGACCGGCCACACUGGGACUGAGACACGGCCCAGACUCCUACGGGAGGCAGCAGUGGGGAAUCUUGCGCAAUGGGCGAAAGCCUGACGCAGCGACGCCGCGUGAGGGAUGACGGCCUGGUGUAAC
This 396-nucleotide ribosomal RNA is filed under the name uncultured bacterium. RNAcentral's name for it is "bacterial SSU rRNA". It matches the Rfam family "Bacterial small subunit ribosomal RNA", at positions 28 to 429 of the family's 1533-position model. The record is from RNAcentral.